This 1343-nucleotide ribosomal RNA is filed under the name uncultured bacterium. RNAcentral describes it as "16S ribosomal RNA". It matches the Rfam family "Bacterial small subunit ribosomal RNA", at positions 28 to 1378 of the family's 1533-position model. The record is from RNAcentral.
GACGAACGCUGGCGGCGUGCUUAACACAUGCAAGUCGAACGGAAAGGCCCUGCUUUUGUGGGGUGCUCGAGUGGCGAACGGGUGAGUAACACGUGAGUAACCUGCCCUUGACUUUGGGAUAACUUCAGGAAACUGGGGCUAAUACCGGAUAGGAGCUCCUGCUGCAUGGUGGGGGUUGGAAAGUUUCGGCGGUUGGGGAUGGACUCGCGGCUUAUCAGCUUGUUGGUGGGGUAGUGGCUUACCAAGGCUUUGACGGGUAGCCGGCCUGAGAGGGUGACCGGCCACAUUGGGACUGAGAUACGGCCCAGACUCCUACGGGAGGCAGCAGUGGGGAAUAUUGCACAAUGGGCGGAAGCCUGAUGCAGCAACGCCGCGUGCGGGAUGACGGCCUUCGGGUUGUAAACCGCUUUCGCCUGUGACGAAGCGUGAGUGACGGUAAUGGGUAAAGAAGCACCGGCUAACUACGUGCCAGCAGCCGCGGUGAUACGUAGGGUGCGAGCGUUGUCCGGAUUUAUUGGGCGUAAAGGGCUCGUAGGUGGUUGAUCGCGUCGGAAGUGUAAUCUUGGGGCUUAACCCUGAGCGUGCUUUCGAUACGGGUUGACUUGAGGAAGGUAGGGGAGAAUGGAAUUCCUGGUGGAGCGGUGGAAUGCGCAGAUAUCAGGAGGAACACCAGUGGCGAAGGCGGUUCUCUGGGCCUUUCCUGACGCUGAGGAGCGAAAGCGUGGGGAGCGAACAGGCUUAGAUACCCUGGUAGUCCACGCUGUAAACGGUGGGUACUAGGUGUGGGGUCCAUUCCACGGGUUCCGUGCCGUAGCUAACGCUUUAAGUACCCCGCCUGGGGAGUACGGCCGCAAGGCUAAAACUCAAAGGAAUUGACGGGGCCCCGCACAAGCGGCGGAGCAUGCGGAUUAAUUCGAUGCAACGCGUAGAACCUUACCUGGGUUUGACAUGGAUCGGGAGCGCUCAGAGAUGGGUGUGCCUCUUUUGGGGUCGGUUCGCAGGUGGUGCAUGGCUGUCGUCAGCUCGUAUCGUGAGAUGUUGGGUUAAGUCCCGCAACGAGCGCAACCCUUGUUCACUGUUGCCAGCACGUUAUGGUGGGGACUCAGUGGAGACCGCCGGGGUCAACUCGGAGGAAGGUGGGGAUGACGUCAAGUCAUCAUGCCCCUUAUGUCCAGGGCUUCACGCAUGCUACAAUGGCUGGUACAGAGAGUGGCGAGCCUGUGAGAGUGAGCGAAUCUCGGAAAGCCGGUCUCAGUUCGGAUUGGGGUCUGCAACUCGACCUCAUGAAGUCGGAGUCGCUAGUAAUCGCAGAUCAGCAACGCUGCGGUGAAUACGUUCCCGGG